GAUGAACGCUGGCGGCGUGCCUAAUACAUGCAAGUCGAGCGAACAGACGAGGAGCUUGCUCCUCUGACGUUAGCGCCGGACGGGUGAGUAACACGUGGAUAACCUACCUAUAAGACUGGGAUAACUUCGGGAAACCGGAGCUAAUACCGGAUAAUAUAUUGCACCGCAUGGUUCAAUAGUGAAAGACGGUUUUGCUGUCACUUAUAGAUGGACCCGCGCCGCAUUAGCUAGUUGGUAAGGUAACGGCUUACCAAGGCGACGAUGCGUAGCCGACCUGAGAGGGUGAUCGGCCACACUGGAACUGAGACACGGUCCAGACUCCUACGGGAGGCAGCAGUAGGGAAUCUUCCGCAAUGGGCGAAAGCCUGACGGAGCAACGCCGCGUGAGGGAUGAAGGUCUUCGGAUCGUAAAACUCUGUUAUUAGGGAAGAACAAAUGUGUAAGUAACUAUGCACGUCUUGACGGUACCUAAUCAGAAAGCCACGGCUAACUACGUG
This 497-nucleotide ribosomal RNA is filed under the name uncultured bacterium. Its description in RNAcentral is "partial 16S ribosomal RNA". It matches the Rfam family "Bacterial small subunit ribosomal RNA", at positions 28 to 507 of the family's 1533-position model. The record is from RNAcentral.